Molecule: transfer RNA, 73 nt
Filed under: Natronoglycomyces albus
Lineage: Bacteria; Bacillati; Actinomycetota; Actinomycetes; Glycomycetales; Glycomycetaceae
Rfam family: tRNA
About the family: Transfer RNA (tRNA) molecules are approximately 80 nucleotides in length.
Source: Rfam by way of RNAcentral
GACUCGCUAGCUCAAUUGGCAGAGCUGCGGACUUUUAAUCCGUAGGUUGUGGGUUCGAGUCCCACGCGAGUCA